RNAcentral lists this ribosomal RNA (114 nucleotides) under Chelonoidis abingdonii (Abingdon island giant tortoise). Lineage: Eukaryota; Metazoa; Chordata; Testudines; Testudinidae. The record is from RNAcentral.
GGCCCAUGCCACCCUGAACACACCCCAUCUCAUCUGAUCUCAGAAGCUAAGCAAGGUCAGGCCUGGUUAGUACUUGGAUGGGAGACCUCCUUGGGGUAUUGGGUGCUGUAGCCU